UUUUGCAAAAGGGACACAGACUGACUUGGGAAAAUUAAUGCAGCCAAGCUUGAGCUGUUUUUUUGGAGUGUUUCUGGUCUUCGGCUGGAUCGUGCUGUGAGCUUUAUCUAAUGUAAAGGCAAAGCGGGAACUUGGGAGGUUUCUUUGAUAGAGAGGCAGCUGAGAGAAAGUUGGUGACCGCUGACCAGAGGCACCACAGAGCUCCAGCAGUCCAGGGCAGGGUGACAGGAGACAACACGCCAAGGGGAGGAAGGGGAGUCGCUCAUCUGUGUCUGCACCCAGGACAGCUCCCGUGGUGGCCGUUCUAAGGUGUCCCCGUGGGCUCUAAGAAAUAUCUGUUGCAUGAACAGCACAGCCAGAAGAGCAGUUGCAGCACCGCCACAGACGUAAUGCAAUCUUCUAACUGAAGGAGAAUAGCAGGAGGACUGAGGUCACCAGUCUCCAUGGUGCCCCACAGAUGCUGACCCCUGGUGCUCACACCUCCCACACAGACUCGGUCUUCCCUUGUAAGACCAAUGGAAUGAAUGCCCAUCAUAG
This is a long non-coding RNA of Fukomys damarensis (Damara mole-rat), 537 nucleotides long. RefSeq lists it as uncharacterized. The transcript is spliced from 3 exons. The record is from RefSeq and is a predicted model, not a curated record. NCBI's taxonomy places the organism in Eukaryota, Metazoa, Chordata, Mammalia, Rodentia, Bathyergidae.